Molecule: small nuclear RNA, 115 nt
Filed under: Opisthocomus hoazin
Lineage: Eukaryota; Metazoa; Chordata; Aves; Opisthocomiformes; Opisthocomidae
Description: U5 spliceosomal RNA
Rfam family: U5 spliceosomal RNA
About the family: U5 RNA is a component of both types of known spliceosome.
Source: Rfam by way of RNAcentral
CUACUCUGAUUUCUCUUCAGAUCGUAUAAAUCUUUCGCCUUUUGCUAAAGAUUUCCGUGGAGAGGAACAGGCAUGAGUGUCGAGGAAUUUUCUGAGGCUCCAUUUCGGUGGAGCU